This 101-nucleotide microRNA precursor is filed under the name Ciona intestinalis (vase tunicate). RNAcentral describes it as "microRNA cin-mir-672 precursor". Its record names the gene cin-mir-672. Lineage: Eukaryota; Metazoa; Chordata; Ascidiacea; Phlebobranchia; Cionidae. The record is from miRBase by way of RNAcentral.
ACAUUGAUGGAGAUAUGAGUUUGGUGUACUGUGUGUUGCAUGUCGUCAAGCAUCCAAUGGCUCGACUUGCCCGACAUCCCACAACGGGUUCAUGGUUUCAA